GUGAAUCAUCAAAUUUUUGAACGCAAAUUGCACUCUCUUCGGAGAGUAUGCCUGUUUGAGGGUCAGCCUAUAAAAAAUCGACAUCGUUGCUGUUUCGCGGUGGCGUUCGUCGGAAAUUGGGUCAUCUUAAAUCUUUUGGUUUUAAGCGACUUAAAAUUUUCUUUUUAUUUCCAUGAAGGUUUCUAAGAUUUAUUUCUUUACAGUUUUAAGUAAUGUAUUUUUAUUAGAUGUCACCAUCAUAGCGGA
This 246-nucleotide unclassified non-coding RNA is filed under the name Glomeraceae sp. RNAcentral describes it as "partial contains 5.8S ribosomal RNA and internal transcribed spacer 2". The stretch from base 1 to 65 matches the Rfam family "5.8S ribosomal RNA", at positions 84 to 154 of the family's 154-position model. The record is from RNAcentral. Lineage: Eukaryota; Fungi; Glomeromycota; Glomeromycetes; Glomerales; Glomeraceae.